This 279-nucleotide ribosomal RNA is filed under the name uncultured bacterium. Its description in RNAcentral is "partial 16S ribosomal RNA". It matches the Rfam family "Bacterial small subunit ribosomal RNA", at positions 506 to 784 of the family's 1533-position model. The record is from RNAcentral.
UGCCAGCCGCCGCGGUAAUACGAAGGGCCCGAGCGUUGUGCGGAUUCACUGGGCUUAAAGGGUGCGUAGGCGGAUAUGUCAGUGCGUUGUGAAAGCCCACGGCUCAACCGUGGAACUGCAGCGCAUACUGCAUAUCUUGAGGUCGGUAGGGGCUGUCGGAACUCUAGGUGUAGCGGUGAAAUGCGUAGAUAUCUAGAGGAACACCAAUGGCGAAGGCAGACAGCUGGGCCGAUUCUGACGCUGAGGCACGAAAGCGUGGGGAGCAAACAGGAUUAGAUA